AGGCAAGGUGAGUUGUGCUGAGCUGCUGGCAUUCACAGCAUGGCAUCAAAACAAACCUAUUUAUCUGGUUCAGAAAAAAGACAAAAGUGGGAACCAGAUGAAGAAAAAACGCUUACAGGAUGAAGGAGCAAUUCUGAAUUAUUUUGGCGCCACAGACCAGGAAGCAGCAUGGCAGCCUUUAGCACCAAUGGACCAGGAUGUUUAAGCCUUCCCAAACCUUCCCAAGGACCACAGAGUCUGAAUUCUGUGCUGAGCUCCUGGUUCUAGUCUGUCUCCAGCCAGUACAACUGACAAUCUUUAAAUGUUUGUUCUUGAGAAGUUUGUCUUGCUAAGAUUGCAAUUUACAGACAUACAGUGUGAUACAAGACUACUGAAAAACCUCUCUUAGCUCAUUA
This is a long non-coding RNA of Acanthopagrus latus (yellowfin seabream), 395 nucleotides long. RefSeq lists it as uncharacterized. The record is from RefSeq and is a predicted model, not a curated record. The transcript is spliced from 3 exons. NCBI's taxonomy places the organism in Eukaryota, Metazoa, Chordata, Actinopteri, Spariformes, Sparidae.